RNAcentral lists this ribosomal RNA (439 nucleotides) under uncultured bacterium. Its description in RNAcentral is "partial 16S ribosomal RNA". It matches the Rfam family "Bacterial small subunit ribosomal RNA", at positions 339 to 795 of the family's 1533-position model. The record is from RNAcentral.
CUACGGGCGGCAGCAGUGGGGAAUCUUGGACAAUGGGCGCAAGCCUGAUCCAGCCAUGCCGCGUGAGUGAAGAAGGCCUUAGGGUCGUAAAGCUCUUUCGCCAGAGAUGAUAAUGACAGUAUCUGGUAAAGAAACCCCGGCUAACUCCGUGCCAGCAGCCGCGGUAAUACGGAGGGGGUUAGCGUUGUUCGGAAUUACUGGGCGUAAAGCGCGCGUAGGCGGAUUAGUCAGUCAGAGGUGAAAUCCCAGGGCUCAACCCUGGAACUGCCUUUGAUACUGCUAGUCUUGAGUUCGAGAGAGGUGAGUGGAAUUCCGAGUGUAGAGGUGAAAUUCGUAGAUAUUCGGAGGAACACCAGUGGCGAAGGCGGCUCACUGGCUCGAUACUGCCGCUGAGGUGCGAAAGUGUGGGGAGCAAACAGGAUUAGAUACCCCCGUAGUC